RNAcentral lists this ribosomal RNA (253 nucleotides) under uncultured bacterium. RNAcentral's name for it is "partial 16S ribosomal RNA". It matches the Rfam family "Bacterial small subunit ribosomal RNA", at positions 524 to 776 of the family's 1533-position model. The record is from RNAcentral.
UACGUAGGGUGCAAGCGUUGUCCGGAAUUAUUGGGCGUAAAGGGCUCGUAGGCGGUCCAUCGCGUCGGGAGUGAAAAGCUGGGGCUCAACCCCAGUCCUGCUUUCGAUACGGGUGGACUAGAGGUAUGCAGGGGAGAACGGAAUUCCUGGUGUAGCGGUGAGAUGCGCAGAUAUCAGGAGGAAUACCGGUGGCGAAAGCGACUCUCUGGACGGCAACUGACGCUGAGGCACGAAAGCGUGGGGAGCAAACAGG